UCAAAACAGCGGGCUUCGGCCCUCGCUGCACCCUUGUCUUUUGCGCACCGUAUUGUUUCCUCGGCGGGCUUGCCUGCCGGUUGGACAUCAUCAAACCUUUUUGUAGCUGCAAUCAGCGUCAGAAAACAAUAAUUAUUA
This 138-nucleotide unclassified non-coding RNA is filed under the name uncultured Dokmaia. Its description in RNAcentral is "sequence contains ITS1". The record is from RNAcentral. Lineage: Eukaryota; Fungi; Ascomycota; Dothideomycetes; Pleosporales.